CAACCUUUUGCUAAAAACUACAAAACUAAAGAGCAACAGCCAAAUUGUAUUACGACUUUUGCGUCUACCUUGGGAAAUCCCUUUCUAUUUGUAUUUCGCGCUUCGUGUCACGUGAUUCAGACACAAACAAACAAAAUGGCGGAGGCUUCGUAAUCUACAAUGAGCGAACCAGCCAAAACAGAGGGAGAGAUAAACGCGUGAGACAGCCAUCUAAAAGAAUGUUGUUGUAUUCUCAGGACACAGAUUCAGAUUCAAGUCUACAGAAGAGCUAAGGAAAACGUCCUGCCAGAAAGAUCCAGAAAGUUGAUACAUUAGCAACAAUAACUAAGGGGACACUGGAACGCCAUAGCACGUCUGACGAUGAGAUGACUCUAUCGGUGCUGGAUAGGAUGACCCUCUACAGUCAGCAGCAGUAUUGACAAGAUGUGUUUUCCUUUUAUGCAGAGACACUAGAAGAUGUCAAUAAAUCUUUCAGACAUGCUGCAUACAGACAAUUUACCAUCUUAAUGCAUGGGAAACCGACUGCUGGAGACAGAAUAACUGUCCCAGCAUGUUGUGUUAAAUUAAUAAGGGAGAAGUUUCCUAGUCCUUGUGGCCAGUAUACAGGCUUCGUACCAGGUGAAGGCCCAGUGUUCUAAUAAUUUUGCAUAUUUAUGCCCCCCUUCGAAGAAGAAGGGGUAUAUAGUUUUGCACAUGUCGGUCCGUCCACCAGAUGGUUUCGGGAUGAUAACUUAAGAACGCUUAGGCCUAGGAUCAUGAAACUUCAUAGGUACAUUGAUCAUGACUCGCAGAUGACCCCCAUUGAUUUUAAGGUCACUAGGUCAAAGGUCAAGGUGACUCGACACAGUAAAAUAGUUUCCGGAUGAUAACUCAAGAAAGCUUACGCCUAGGAUCAUGAAACUUCAUAGGUUCAUUGAUAACGACUCGCAGAUGACCCCUAUUGAUUUUCAGGUCACUAGGUCAAAGGUCACAGUGACAAAAAACGUAUCACACAAUGGCUGCCACUACAACUGACAGCCCAUAUGGGGGGCAUGCAUGUUUUACAAACAGCCCUUGUUUAUUUUUAUUUUGAGUCAUUUUGUUUCACACUUGAUAUUUUGUUAGAUUAGGUUUCUUAAAAUACAUUUCAAACAUGACAUAUGCUAAUGCAUGAAUUAACAUUUUGAAAUCAAUAAAAAAGCAACAAGUUUUAAAUUAAA
Molecule: long non-coding RNA, 1199 nt
Organism: Dreissena polymorpha
Lineage: Eukaryota; Metazoa; Mollusca; Bivalvia; Myida; Dreissenidae
Exons: 4
Source: RefSeq, a predicted model, not a curated record